RNAcentral lists this long non-coding RNA (2064 nucleotides) under Vulpes vulpes (red fox). Its description in RNAcentral is "lncRNA (ENSVVUG00000028224.1)". Lineage: Eukaryota; Metazoa; Chordata; Mammalia; Carnivora; Canidae. The record is from RNAcentral.
AUGGGCCUACAGAAGCCUCUGAGCACUAGUGAGCCUUAUAGUUUGGCCCCAAGCAGGGUGCCUGCUGCAUCAUCAUUGUACUGGAAAGACGACCUCCAAAACACCUGCCCUGUACAUCUCAUCACAGGCCAGAGUACUUUACUCCACAACAUCCUCAUGGAACACGGACCAGGCCUGAGAGCUCCUGCCCUGCAAACUGGGGAAACUGAGGCACUGACCUCGGAUAGAAAGCAGUCAAGCAGCAAACCUGAAGGCAUCACCAUUGCUCCAGAGGGGAGAAGGGCACCCACCCCGAGGACCCCCGCAGCAGCAGCAGCAGCUCUCGGGAAAGCAAGUCCCCCUCAGGCUGUCGGACCCCUCUGUGUCUCAACUGGGGCCUGUAGGAGAUCCUGCCCUGCCUGACUUCCCAGGAAACACAUCUGGCCCCCUUCCCUCACAGCCUGCUGCCUGCACCUCUCCUCAGGGCCCGAUGGCAGCUGUGUCACCUACACUCCUGUGGGCACCUUCCUCACCAGGCACUUACUAGAGAGGAUGUGCAGUGGCAGGUACGAGGAGCAGGUAUGUAUCAGGCAAUUUUCCAGGGCAGCGUGGGGGCCGGGGCUACAGGCAGUCAGAAGCAGGACGCACGGCUGGAACAGGGAUGGGGGGCGUUUCGGGAGAAGGGGGCAGCAGGUGAAUCUGGCUAGCGCCUGCCUCCAGCCCUCACUGACCCUCCCUGCUCAGCACCCCACCUGCCCCUGGCGAGAUGCCAUCCUGGCUUGCUCUGAACCAUCCGUGCAGGUGGACAUUUCGGAGGAGGGACCCUGGGCAUGACUUUUAUCACAUGGGCCAAGGCAGAGCAGGUGCCUGAACAGUCCCUCGGCAGCCCCCUGCUCAGAGCCAGAAGGGUCUGGAAGGAUGACUGUAAAGAGGCGGAUGGGCAGUGGGCAAAGGGCCUGUCAGGCCCCUCCCUCGGCUACCCCCUUCCCUGCCUCCAGCUAAGACCCACCCCCGUCCCUCCCACCCUUUGAUUUUUUAAUCACCAAUGCCCUUGGCACCUCGGCCCACGUCCCACCUACAUUAGCCAGGAGGCCUGGGCAGCUGCUCCAUCAGCCAUUAGGUUCAGGCAUUAGCUCACCUUGUGGCUCUUGGGGGAAUCCUAAUGCACCUGUUCUUUCUNGUACCCCCCCCCCCCCCCCCCCCACACACACACACCUCCACCUCCACACCAGGCCCUUGCUCACCUCUGCCAGAGAGUGAGUUUCCUGAAAUGACAGACCAUUCUGUCUUCCCUAAUCCCUACCUCGCAAGGCUGGAAUGCACGACCAUGACGCUGCCCUACCCUUGCCCGUGGCUGGAUCAGAACCAGUGUGCACUGCUAAAUGUGUAAACACCACCUCCCUGGGAGGAAAAGCCCUGAUAUGUAGCACUGGCCAAUUUCUGUGGUGUAAACACCCCCACCGCGGCCCAUGUCAAGUUACUGGACUGGACACGGACUCGGGCAGAGAUGCCGUGAGAAUCAGUACCAGCACGUGCCCAGCCAGGCAACGUUGGGGUGACCUGCCAACCCCACAGCCUGGCACUGCUCCCUCCAGCAGCCGCUGCUGUGCACGAAGGCAGGGCCCUCCCCAUCCAGGAUGAGGUGCUCAGGGCAUGGCCCUGUGAGUCUGAUCUAGAAUGAAAUCCCAGCUCUGCCAUAUAAUGAAAUGGAUGGCUUUGGGCAAGUCGCUUAACCUUUCCUUAUCGGUAAAAUAAGAUUAAUAUAACUCAUACCCCAGACAUGUGAGGAUUAUGAGCACCUGGACAGAAGCCACUUAGUGCAGGGUUUGCAUGGGAAGAACUCAAUCAGUGUAGCCAGUAGUGGGGAGUAAGACCCACAAUGGUAUGGGCAGCCCGGGUGGCUCAGUGGUUUAUCGCUGCCUUCAGCCCAGGGCGAGAUCCCGGAGACCUGGGAUUGAGACCCACGUCAGGCUCCCUACAUGGAGCCUGCUUCUCCCUCUGCCUGUGUCUCUGCCUCUCUCUCUCUCUCUCUCUCCCUGUGUCUCUCAUGAAUAAAUAAAUAAAAUAUUUAAAAAAAAAUACCCA